Molecule: non-coding RNA, 28 nt
Filed under: Rattus norvegicus (Norway rat)
Lineage: Eukaryota; Metazoa; Chordata; Mammalia; Rodentia; Muridae
Source: RNAcentral
UAAAGUAAUGCCCAUUUUGCCUAAUUGA